UACGUAGGGUGCGAGCGUUAAUCGGAAUUACUGGGCGUAAAGCGUGCGCAGGCGGUUCGUUGUGUCCGAUGUGAAAGCCCCGGGCUUAACCUGGGAAUGGCAUUGGAAACUGGCGAGCUUGAGUGCGGCAGAGGGGGGUGGAAUUCCGCGUGUAGCAGUGAAAUGCGUAGAGAUGUGGAGGAAUACCAAUGGCGAAGGCAGCCCCCUGGGAUAAUAUUGACGCUCAUGCACGAAAGCGUGGGGAGCAAACAGG
RNAcentral lists this ribosomal RNA (253 nucleotides) under uncultured bacterium. RNAcentral describes it as "partial 16S ribosomal RNA". It matches the Rfam family "Bacterial small subunit ribosomal RNA", at positions 524 to 776 of the family's 1533-position model. The record is from RNAcentral.